UCGAAUGUCAGAUGUUGAUAAAAUUGUAAACAAAUGUGAAGAAUUUUACAGUUUUGUUAUCAAUUGGCUAAAAAUAAACAAUGUUGAAUAUUUACUAAAAGAAAAUUUACUAUUCUAAAACAUCUCCCUUUCUGAAAACAUUAUCGCUUAUUUGCAAAGUGCACCCUUCAGAGGAAAGUGAGUGAAAUUUUUGUACCUGAUUUUCGAUUGUGAGAAAAUAAAUUAAAUCGAAAGAUGACCGACAUAGAAAGUUUGCCUGUGGAAACAUUUUUAGAUAUACUAAAACUAAUUGACGGUGUCACGUUAGCAAAAUGCAGAAGUGUUUGCAAAAAAUGGAAAGAUUGUAUUGAUAGCACAGAUUGGUUGUGGCACGAAAUUUGCAAAAAUGAGUUCAAAUUCUCGUCCAAACUUGCAAAGCAGAAGUCUGGGAGCGACUGUGACUGGUACCACAUUUAUAAGAACCUCAAAAUGUGGUCUAAAGUUAUGUCUUUUGAGAGAAAUGUAAGAGAAUUCUACAAGUUUACAUUACACGACAAAAACCACGCUCUGGAUGUUAACUAUAACAUUUUACCCUUGAGGGAUACCAGAGGGGUGGUAAUGUAUGAUAUGAGCACACUGAAAUACAUACCAGUUUCAGUACCGGAGAAAAACUGUGUUAAAAUUGCUAACAAUGACUUUGCCACUGUUAUACUACUAAAGUCCGGAAUGUACAUCCAAAAAACGAUUGACAACAUCAUAAACAUGUCUGAAGCAUUCUUCGAAGCAGAUAAUUUUGUUUUGGCUGGCAAUAACAUAUACUUUUUCAAUAACAGAGAUGUCUACAAGUGUGACUUAAGUUUAGACAAUUUAUCAUCAAAACUGAUAAUUCAUUGCGACUAUGACAUAAAAGAUAUACAGUACGAUAACAACGUCAUUCACAUAUUUACAGACUGCGCCAAAAUAGUCAAUGUGUAUAAAAAUAAAACUACUGAAGUGAAACCGAUCAAUGUUCCCCCGGAAUGGACGAAACAUAUUAAAUCUAUCCGCGCAAUUAAUGACAAGAACUUUGUCUGUUACUCACGGAACUUGUUCAAGAUUGAAACUGAUAAAUACCGGCAUUUAUAUUUAGAUUUUCCACCUAUAACAGCGUUGUUCUUUUAUGCUGAUAUUGUUUUAAUUGGGACACGACAAGGGGAGAUUCUGCUAUACCGACUGGCCAGUCAGAAACGGGCUAUAAAGCCUAUAUUUGAGGAUAUAGCUACAUUGCCAGGAGACAAGUUUGCUGUACAAUUGGAUGUUUGCGAAAGAAAAUCGGGUCCGGUGAUAGUAGUGGCAACGUUUUUUGAAAUAUUUCUUAUUGAGAUUGAUUUCUUUCCCCAUGAAAAAGAGCUAAAGAAAUCAUUCCCUGUUAACAAGCAGUAUAUGUACAAAAGGCUGUUGAGACUAAGAGACAGAAUCGCAUUAAAUUAUAGCUAAAUUAUAGUAUCAAAGAAAGUGCUGAUGUGAUCAGAAAAGUAUGAAAAAUAGUGUAUAGUGGUAUUUAUUUUUGUUUUUAAGAUUAUGAUGUUUCAAAGAUUACAUGGUAAGAGCAGAAAAUUGUACUUUUGAGACUCUAGUCUAUUCUAAUAUAUGAACUAGAAUGUACUAAGAGGCUGGACUCAGGUCUAAAUGGCAUAGUUAUGCCCAUUUUCGCCAUCAAUCCCUAGUUUAUAAGUGAUCCCUAUGGUAACACAACAGGAAUUUUGUUUUCAUAGGGGCCCCUUAAAAAUUAGGAAUUGAUGGUCAAUAUGGGCAUUAGAGUAGGACUGGUAAGGUGGUGUACUGGAGUGUCCCCUAGGUACGUAAUUUCGAAUACCGCUGUUACGACGAAUGCUGCUGUGAAUAAAUUGCUUGUUUUUACAUUUAAUAUUUUUUAUACACCGAAAUAACGGUCGUUCGUUCGUGACUACAUCAUUCGAGUCCAUAAGCUAUCGUACCUAUCCUAUGAGGCAGUGGAAAAAAAUUCGCAGCAGCGGUAUUCGCAAUAACUUAGGGGAUCCGUCGUCUAAAAUCAUCAAUAAGAUUUGACUAGACAUAUUAAAUUAUCUCUAUCAAAAGUGGAUUAUAUAAAGUCUAAUCCUGCUACUAAUCAAAUUAGUAAACAGUGAAAUAUUGUAAAAGAUUUUAAUCUGUGAUGGCAAUGGUUACUAGGUUUGCAAAAUGUGAAAUUGAAUUCUGUACAGAAAUGUUAUUUAUUUCCUAUUAAUUAUUUAUUCUGUUAUUGAAGCUUGUUAAGUGUAUAAUAGAAUUUCGUUUUGUGUGAUCUGUUAUUGUUGGUAAUAUUAUAGAAUAAUUAAAAGUCAAGCAUAUUUUA
Molecule: long non-coding RNA, 2332 nt
Organism: Ostrinia nubilalis (European corn borer)
Lineage: Eukaryota; Metazoa; Arthropoda; Insecta; Lepidoptera; Crambidae
Exons: 2
Source: RefSeq, a predicted model, not a curated record